Molecule: long non-coding RNA, 877 nt
Organism: Chinchilla lanigera (long-tailed chinchilla)
Lineage: Eukaryota; Metazoa; Chordata; Mammalia; Rodentia; Chinchillidae
Exons: 3
Source: RefSeq, a predicted model, not a curated record
CUGUCACCCACACUGCCUACAGCGACAGGAGCAGAACCCGCCAUCCCGCAGCAACCUCUUUCAUGUUUAAGUGCAGACCACAGAGUGAGCGGAAGUCCAGAGAUUGGAAGAGAAACUGAGACUGGGAAUUAUUAUAACGCAUAUAAAGCAGCUUUCGCCGAGGGAAACGACCCUUGGAAGAUCACGGAGAGAAUCAGAGAGAGCCGUAGAGGGAGGAGGGCAAGUGGAGACAAGUUGCAGUCACAGUCGCCAAGGUAGAAGAGACAUCAUGACGUCCCCGCGAUCAGUAUGUUAUGUGAUACGGACCAAAUUGAUGUGGAGGAGCACAAAACCGCCGGACUAGGUUACUACGUGUCUUCCCCGGCUGGCGUCGCAUGAUAUGCCUAGUCGUCAGGCGCAUCCGAGGGAAUUAUAUCUGCCAGAGUCACAGUUUUUAUUCUCCACAUUGAUUGCUUACACAACAGGUAGCAUUUAUGAACAAAAGCACAAAAAAUCUUCUGUCAAUAUGAGAAUCUUGCUAAUCAGAUUUUUAGGACUAGGUCUCUUCACAGCAAGAAUACCCUCACAGAAUCUCUCAUUAAAUUAGAAAUUACUAACCAAAUAAAAUAUUUACUACAUGGGUGGGGCUUCAGUGAUAUUGACUGAAGAAGAAAGAAUUUAUAGAGGUUCGUAAAACGCAGUUGUCCAUAUGUAAAGGUAGAAUGUGGACAGAAAAGCCCCACCCAAAGAAAAGCUAGUCAAAACAAUAAUGGCUUACUUGACGCCUACUUCACCUUAUACACCUGUUAUUUUGCCUCUCUGUCAUCAUUUUCCCUAGACCUCUACAAUUUCCUCCAGUCUUGGGAAGGGAUUUAACCACACUAUCAUAUCUAUUUUA